CGUUGACCUUCAUGUCCUGUUCCAGCACUCGUAUCCCUGAUCGACAACCCGUGUUUAUCGACCUUCGCCUGUUCUCCGGCUAACCUUGUCCGAGUCCUCCAAACCGUUUGAGGGAACUCGCUUGGCCAUCUACCUGGGACCUCCGCGUGGCGGCCAGAGGAGACACCCAGGCCAGGCGCUCCCUUGUGCGUCCCACUGCGCGGCAACAAAGAUGCCGUCUUCGUCCACCCACUCCUCACCGACAACGGUUAAACCGACAGACCUGCAGCUGGUGGCGAAGCUUCCAGGCCAGAGGGAGGAGGGGCCGCCAAAUCACGAGACCCCGUAAGCUUGACGUCUUUGAUACUCCUGCCUUCUCUGAUCGAUCUCCCGUAUACCGACCCGUGCCUGCCCGCGGACCUGCUCUGUAUGCCCAACGUCCUAACUUCCGAUGCUCCACUUGACUUUCUGCCUGAUCCCCGACUUUGGACGAAUAAACACUUUUCCCAAACUGCCUCUGCGUCUCUGGAGUCCUGCAUUUGGGUCCUCCCCGCAUCAAUGGGUCGUGAUAGAAUGCUCUGGCCAAACCAGGACCAAGCAGGAAAGACCCAGCGUUGCCGGGACCGACGCGAGGUAAACCGACUGCCGAAGGACCAAGCCUGUCCUAUCCGGGUCGGCUCCAUGAUGUUGUUUGCGUCUUCCAGUCAUUCAGACAAGAU
This is a long non-coding RNA of Syngnathoides biaculeatus (alligator pipefish), 698 nucleotides long. RefSeq lists it as uncharacterized. The transcript is spliced from 3 exons. NCBI's taxonomy places the organism in Eukaryota, Metazoa, Chordata, Actinopteri, Syngnathiformes, Syngnathidae. The record is from RefSeq and is a predicted model, not a curated record.